This 483-nucleotide ribosomal RNA is filed under the name uncultured bacterium. RNAcentral's name for it is "partial 16S ribosomal RNA". It matches the Rfam family "Bacterial small subunit ribosomal RNA", at positions 30 to 507 of the family's 1533-position model. The record is from RNAcentral.
AUUGAACGCUGGCGGCAGGCCUAACACAUGCAAGUCGAGCGGAUGAAGGGAGCUUGCUCCUGGAUCAGCGGCGGACGGGUGAGUAAUGCCUAGGAAUCUGCCUGGUAGUGGGGGAUAACGUCCGGAAACGGGCGCUAAUACCGCAUACGUCCUGAGGGAGAAAGUGGGGGAUCUUCGGACCUCACGCUAUCAGAUGAGCCUAGGUCGGAUUAGCUAGUUGGUGGGGUAAAGGCCUACCAAGGCGACGAUCCGUAACUGGUCUGAGAGGAUGAUCAGUCACACUGGAACUGAGACACGGUCCAGACUCCUACGGGAGGCAGCAGUGGGGAAUAUUGGACAAUGGGCGAAAGCCUGAUCCAGCCAUGCCGCGUGUGUGAAGAAGGUCUUCGGAUUGUAAAGCACUUUAAGUUGGGAGGAAGGGCAGUAAGUUAAUACCUUGCUGUUUUGACGUUACCAACAGAAUAAGCACCGGCUAACUUCGUG